Molecule: ribosomal RNA, 419 nt
Filed under: Clostridioides difficile
Lineage: Bacteria; Bacillati; Bacillota; Clostridia; Peptostreptococcales; Peptostreptococcaceae
Description: bacterial SSU rRNA
Rfam family: Bacterial small subunit ribosomal RNA
Source: RNAcentral
UUUUAUUUGAGAGUUUGAUCCUGGCUCAGGAUGAACGCUGGCGGCGUGCCUAACACAUGCAAGUUGAGCGAUUUACUUCGGUAAAGAGCGGCGGACGGGUGAGUAACGCGUGGGUAACCUACCCUGUACACACGGAUAACAUACCGAAAGGUAUGCUAAUACGGGAUAAUAUAUUUGAGAGGCAUCUCUUGAAUAUCAAAGGUGAGCCAGUACAGGAUGGACCCGCGUCUGAUUAGCUAGUUGGUAAGGUAACGGCUUACCAAGGCGACGAUCAGUAGCCGACCUGAGAGGGUGAUCGGCCACAUUGGAACUGAGACACGGUCCAAACUCCUACGGGAGGCAGCAGUGGGGAAUAUUGCACAAUGGGCGAAAGCCUGAUGCAGCAACGCCGCGUGAGUGAUGAAGGCCUUCGGGUCGUA